UACGUAGGGUGCAAGCGUUAAUCGGAAUACUGGGCGUAAAGCGUGCGCAGGCGGUUGUGCAAGACAGAUGUGAAAUCCCCGGGCUUAACCUGGGAACUGCAUUCGAAACUGGCAGGCUAGAGUCUUGUAGAGGGGGGUAGAAUUCCAGGUGUAGCGGUGAAAUGCGCAGAUAUCAGGAAGAACACCUAUGGCGAAGGCAGCUCUCUGGGACGGUACUGACGCUGAGACGCGAAAGCGUGGGGAGCGAACAGG
Molecule: ribosomal RNA, 252 nt
Filed under: uncultured bacterium
Lineage: Bacteria
Description: partial 16S ribosomal RNA
Rfam family: Bacterial small subunit ribosomal RNA
Source: RNAcentral